GGAGCGGUAGCCUAGUGGUCGAAGGCGCUUCACUGCUAACGAAGUAAUUGUUUCCAAUUCGAGGGUUCGAAUCCCUCCCGCUCCGCCA
This 88-nucleotide transfer RNA is filed under the name endosymbiont DhMRE of Dentiscutata heterogama. Its description in RNAcentral is "tRNA-Ser". It matches the Rfam family "tRNA". From Rfam's summary of the family: Transfer RNA (tRNA) molecules are approximately 80 nucleotides in length. Their secondary structure includes four short double-helical elements and three loops (D, anti-codon, and T loops). Lineage: Bacteria; Bacillati; Mycoplasmatota; Mollicutes; Mycoplasmatales. The record is from RNAcentral.